RNAcentral lists this unclassified non-coding RNA (233 nucleotides) under soil metagenome. RNAcentral describes it as "partial internal transcribed spacer 1". The record is from RNAcentral.
UUGAAUUUUAAUGAAGAGUUUGGUUGUAGCUGGCCCAUUCAUUUGGGCAUGUGCACACCUUCCUCUUUCAUCCCACACACACCUGUGGAACCUGUGAGACAGAGAUGGGGAAUUUACUUGCUGCUUUUUGGAAUACAAAGGCAAUAGGUUAUUGGACCCCCCCUCUGUCUACUCAAUUAAUAUAAACUCAAUUUAUUUUAAAACGAAUGUAAUGGAUGUAACACAUCUCAUAC